ACAAGCUAUGUCAUCAAUUAUGUGAAGUUCUUAUUCGACUACCAAACAACAUUGAAGCAACUCUUCUUGGAAUUUGGAAA
Camelina sativa (false flax) is the source of this 80-nucleotide non-coding RNA. The record is from RefSeq and is a predicted model, not a curated record. Lineage: Eukaryota; Viridiplantae; Streptophyta; Magnoliopsida; Brassicales; Brassicaceae.